Molecule: long non-coding RNA, 336 nt
Organism: Hippocampus comes (tiger tail seahorse)
Lineage: Eukaryota; Metazoa; Chordata; Actinopteri; Syngnathiformes; Syngnathidae
Exons: 2
Source: RefSeq, a predicted model, not a curated record
GCUUUGAACCAGGGCCUUGGAGAGGGAAUCUUUUACCGUGGUCGAAUCCUCCUGGCGCUGUCUGUCGAGAUUUACUCCUCACCACUGGCCGUCGCCACAGACUCCGGCUCGGCCCCGCUAGCGAUGGUGAAAGGAACCUUGAGCAGGUUGGGACUGAGGAAGAAGCGAGGCAGCAAGAAGGAAAAAAGGAAGGAAGGUGAGGACGGCAAUUGAUCCGACGCAAGUCAAAAUGAUGCCAUCUUUCUUGAACCCGAUAAGACUUUAUUCUCGUCACGUUCAAGCUUUUUUUCUUGCAAGAUUUCAAUUUAUUUCUCAGAAAAUACGGUUUUAUUUGGU